Long non-coding RNA from Diceros bicornis minor, 255 nucleotides. RefSeq lists it as uncharacterized. Lineage: Eukaryota; Metazoa; Chordata; Mammalia; Perissodactyla; Rhinocerotidae. The record is from RefSeq and is a predicted model, not a curated record. The transcript has 2 exons.
AGCUAGACCAUUGGCUCCAGGGAGAAUCCUCCCUCCACCUGGAGAGAUAACAGCAGAGCCAGAUCCAGCCCCAGAGGCCGCCUGCCCCUGGGACGUGACCACCAAGAACCUGCUGAGGGAGGAGAAGCCUGACUUCUUGGAGUUCCCUCCCCGGCUGGUGGCAGAGCAGUUGACACUGAUGGAUGUGGAGCUCUUCAAGACAGUGAGGCCCCACGAAUUCCUGGACUCCAUCUGGUCCCAGGGUGACAACAGGGG